GUUAGAUCGCCUAAAAAAAGUCUCAUACGGGACCGCCCUUUGCGCAUGUGCGAGACAGCGUGCCCUUUGCGCAUGUGCGAGACUGUGCGCGCUCUUUCCGCCCAUUUCUGGCUGCAACCAUCUCCAACGCCAAAUUUGGAGGACGCUGCAAAAAUAAAAAAGGGGAAAAUCCACUACUUGUUUAAGUUGUAAAGCAGCUUGUGGCAACCUCCUAGGGAUGAGCAAAGGAGGAGUGAAGGGGCAGAGGAUUAAGGAAGUCCUGUCUAUCACAGAUUUGUGUGACAACAUCAACACCAGGAGGGAG
This is a long non-coding RNA of Perca fluviatilis (European perch), 304 nucleotides long. RefSeq lists it as uncharacterized. The record is from RefSeq and is a predicted model, not a curated record. The transcript is spliced from 4 exons. Lineage: Eukaryota; Metazoa; Chordata; Actinopteri; Perciformes; Percidae.